CUGCUGCCUUCCGUAGGAGUCUGGUCCGUGUCUCAGUACCAGUGUGGGGGACCUUCCUCUCAGAACCCCUACGCAUCGUCGCCUCGGUGGGCCGUUACCCCGCCGACUAGCUAAUGCGCCGCAUGGCCAUCCGCAGCCGAUGAAUCUUUAACCGCCGAGGGAUGCCCCUCUGCGGUGUUACGCGGUAUUAGACGGAAUUUCUUCCGCUUAUCCCCCUGCUGCGGGCAGGUUCCAUACGUGUUACUCACCCGUGCGCCGGUCCG
This 263-nucleotide ribosomal RNA is filed under the name uncultured bacterium. RNAcentral describes it as "partial 16S ribosomal RNA". The record is from RNAcentral.